Molecule: non-coding RNA, 171 nt
Organism: Arachis ipaensis
Lineage: Eukaryota; Viridiplantae; Streptophyta; Magnoliopsida; Fabales; Fabaceae
Source: RefSeq, a predicted model, not a curated record
GCAUACCUUCCAUACAAGAGGCGGGAUUUAAUAUUGAAUGAGAAAAAUAUUGAUAUGUUAAUCUAGAGGGAAAUAUUGAAACAACUGUUGAUUCUUUGAAGGAGGAAAAAAAGACAGAGAAACAUGGACUACUAAACUGGUUGAAGUUACGUAAGCGAGAUGGUGGCUGAG